RNA transcript from Ictalurus furcatus (blue catfish), 2729 nucleotides. It is a transcript of the gene named dynein axonemal assembly factor 1-like, with no coding region annotated. The transcript is spliced from 13 exons. NCBI's taxonomy places the organism in Eukaryota, Metazoa, Chordata, Actinopteri, Siluriformes, Ictaluridae. The record is from RefSeq and is a predicted model, not a curated record.
UCGGUUUAUACGAGAGAGAAAAGAACACGGUGCUUUCAGAUACUCACUGAACUUUGUGCGAUUAAGGUGAUUAUUGUAGUUGCUCUUAUCAAGAGAGAAAAAUGAAUAAGUUUCCGAGUGCACUUGGCGCUGGUGGAGAGGAACUUCCGCUGCGCCCCCUGCUGUACACGGCCGGAGCUGCAGCCACCGCAGCCGACAUUUACGAUUAUGUGAAACGAGGCGAUGGAAUGAAAACAACAUCGGACCCCGAGGUCACAACUGAAGACCCAGUGUGCGACCAGGCCACGGAACCGGCUCUGCUCCACCCCACAGAGGUUCCUCAGAACCAGGAGGGUUUGGCAGUUAUGAAGGAGGAAGAAAUGAAGUUUGUACUCCAGCUGGAGGAGAGAGUGAGGGAGCUGGAGGAACUGCUCUGUGAGGCACGCAGGGAUGACAUGGAAAGCAAGGUCUCCCUGGCUGAAGCUGAGGAGAAACACCGGAAGGCUGAGGAGACCAUUGCUCAGCUGGAGGUGGAGAAGUCUGGCCUGAAGGACCAGGUGGAGACACUGUGUGGAACAGUGCAGGACAUGGGGAGCCUGCUCCAUACUGUUGAGGUGGAGAAGUCUGAACUGAAGGACCAGGUGGAGAUACUGCGUGGAACAGUGCACGUCAUGGGGAACCUUCUCCAUGCUGUUGAGGUGGAGAAGUCUGACCUGAAGGACCAGGUGGAGAUACUGCAUGGAACAGUGCAGGACAUGGGGAGCCAGCUCCAUGUUGUCGAGGUGGAGAAGUCUGAACUGAAGGACCAGGUGGAGAUACUGCGUGGAACAGUGCAGGACAUGAGGAGCCUGCUCCAUGCUGUUGAGGUGGAGAAGUCUGACCUGAAGGACCAGGUGGAGACACUGCGUGGGAUAGUGCAGCACAGGAGGAGCCAGCUCCAUGCUGUCGAGUUGGAGAAGUCUGACCUGAAGGACCAGGUAGAGAUACUGCGUGGAACAGUGCAGGACAUGGGGAGCCAGCUCCAUGUUGUUGAGGUGGAGAAGUCUGAACUGAAGGACCAGGUGGAGACACUGCAUGGAACAGUCCAGGAGAUGAGGAGCCUGCUCCAUGCUGUUGAGGUGGAGAAGUCUGAACUGAAGGAUCAGGUGGAGACACUGCGUGGAACAGUGCAGCACAUGGGGAACCUGCUCCAUGUUGUUGAGGUGGAGAAGUCUCAACUGAAGGACCAGGUGGAGACACUGCGUGGAACAGUGCAGGUCAUGGAGAACCUGCUCACUGAGAUUCACAGGGAGUGUGACAAGCUAAUGAAUGAGCUUCAGGUGAUGAAUGAUGAGAUGAAGAAGAGGCUGAUACGCACAGAGGAGUUACUGAAGGUCUCCCUGCCUGAAGCUGAGGAGAAACACCAGAAGGCUGAGGAGACCAUCGCUCAACUGGAGGUGGAGAAGCCUGACCUGACCAACCAGGUGGAGUCACGGCAAGAGAGUGUGCAGCACAUGGAGGACCUGCCAACUGAGACUCACAGGAUCAGUAAGGCAUUUUUAAGGGACAUCUGCAAGCGGAACAAGCUGUACCGGACCCCCAGCUUAAACGACAUGCUGCCUCUCCACUAUAAAGGUAUCAGCAUAAUCGAGGGUCUGGAGGAGUACACCGGCCUGCGCUGUCUCUAUCUCCAGGGCAAUGCGAUACGGAAACUUGAGAACCUGCAGAACCAGACGGAAUUGCGAUGUCUUUUCAUCCACCAGAACCUCAUCCACACACUCGAGAACCUGGAGCCGCUCACCAAACUCAACACACUCAAUGUGUCAAACAAUUACAUCAGGGUCAUCCAGAACAUCUCCUGCCUGAGCGAGCUGUCCACGUUCCAGAUUUCAAAUAAUCUACUGGAGAGUGUGAGCGAUUUGCAGGAGCUGUGUCACUGCCCCUCCAUCAGAGUUCUGGACCUGUCAAAUAACUGCCUCAAUGACCCAGAAAUCCUCACUGUACUGGAGAAGAUGCCCAAUCUGAGCGUGUUAAACCUGAUGGGUAAUGAUGUCGUCAGGAAAAUUCCUGACUACAGGAAGUCGCUAAUCCUUCGUCUGAAGCAGUUGCAGUGCCUGGACGACCAUCCCGUGUUUCCUAAGGAGAGGGCCUUUGCAGAGGCUUGGGCCGUGGGAGGUAUGGAAGGAGAACGUAAGGAAAGAGAUUUAUGGCAAACAAGAGAAAGGAGGAAGAUUGAGGAGAGUCUGGAUGCCUUGAGACUCCUUGAAGAAAACACACUGGAGCGAAGACGAGCUCGAGAGCAGCAGCAGCAGGAGGAGAAUGUCAGUGUUUCAGGAACGUCCGAGACUGUAGAAGGUCAGAACGUGUCCGGUGAAGACCUCGAGCAGACCGAGCAAGAGCAGGAGGAGGAGGAAGAGGAGGAGGAGGAGGAGGAGGACAUCCAGGUCGCAAUAAAAGUAACAUCAGGGAGGAAUGAGAAGAGCCGUUUCAUCUGAAACUCCAUCUGCAUUACACUCAUGCACCAAAGAAACUCCUUUUAAAAUUGCGGCAAAAAUCUUUCCACAUUUUCUACUGUUAGAACCUGGAACCAAAAUGGACGUCGAAUGUUUUAGCUCGCUAAACGAACAGUUCAACAUCAUUAGCAUGUUUUUGUCCGUAGCUGAGUUCAUGCCUGAUGUCCCUGAUCUGGACGAUCUGGAUGCCGUCGACAUGGAAACAGUGCCGAAGGAACAAAUCCUGAUUGAGGAGCUGAACUGAUGAUGUUUAUUCAA